UGACCUCGAUACAGUA
RNAcentral lists this ribosomal RNA (16 nucleotides) under Sirastachys pseudolongispora. RNAcentral's name for it is "partial 28S ribosomal RNA". The record is from RNAcentral. Lineage: Eukaryota; Fungi; Ascomycota; Sordariomycetes; Hypocreales; Stachybotryaceae.